RNAcentral lists this ribosomal RNA (213 nucleotides) under uncultured prokaryote. Its description in RNAcentral is "partial 16S ribosomal RNA". It matches the Rfam family "Bacterial small subunit ribosomal RNA", at positions 524 to 736 of the family's 1533-position model. The record is from RNAcentral.
UACGUAGGGGGCAAGCGUUGUCCGGAAUCAUUGGGCGUAAAGCGCGUGUAGGCGGCUUGAUAAGUCUGUUGUGAAAGUCCAGGGCUCAACUCUGGAAUGCCGAUGGAUACUGUCAAGCUCGAGUCCGGAAGAGGCGAGUGGAAUUCCUGGUGUAGCGGUGAAAUGCGCAGAUAUCAGGAGGAACACCAAUGGCGAAGGCAGCUCGCUGGGACG